Molecule: long non-coding RNA, 799 nt
Filed under: Marmota monax (woodchuck)
Lineage: Eukaryota; Metazoa; Chordata; Mammalia; Rodentia; Sciuridae
Source: RNAcentral
ACCUCUGCGAGGAUAAAUAUUCAUGUUGCUGUUGUUUCCAUUUACAGAUGAAGGACUGGAGGCCCAGCAAGGUUAAAUGACUUGUCCAUGAACACACAGCCUGUAAACAGAUCAACCAGACUUAAAUGCCAAAGCCCGUGCCUUUUCCUCCACACCAUGGCUACUCUCUGGACUCCUAUACAUCACGUCCCACUUUCUGUGGAUUUUUUUUCUAUCCAGAGGGGCCAUCCCUGAUUGUAGAAUCAUCUCUGAAUUCUAUGACUCAUCUCUGAAUCACAGAACUGUUUAAUAGUUGAAAGGGACUUUUGAUGUCAUCUAGACCUCCCACCCACUGUGGAAAUUUCCUCUCCAAUGCUGUAUUCUCAAUACUUGAAUGACUCCAGUGAUGAAACACUAAUUCUCUUCCUCUGGAAUCAUUAAGUUCUAUGACUUAAUGAGACAGAAAGUAAGUUCUGUAUCCCUUGGGCCAACAGGUCUCUCUUUCAUUUUUACAUACUGGGCUUACAUCCUCCUCCUAAGGCACACAGAAUGGGUCUGCUGACCUUCCAUGUGAUGGCUGCAGAUAUUGAGACAUCCCUUCAGAGAACUCUUUUCUUCAAGCUUGCUGUUCUGGUCCCCACAACUCUUCUGUGAGAUGCUCCGUCCCAGACUAGCUCAAAGGUCCCUCCAAAGGGAGCAAUGGCUCCCCUACUGGACAAGGGGUGAACUGCACCGAAGGGCUCACUAGGCAGGAUAGCUGAGGAGCUUCCUGGGGAGCCUGGGCACCAACACUGGUGUGAAUAAAAUAACUGCCUUUUCU